AGACCCAUCUCUGGCAAUAAGCUGUUUCCUUCUUAUUGACAGGGGGAUGACAGGGGGUGACCCAGCACCCCAAGGCUAUGAGAGGGAAUCCCAGGUGGGACUCAGUACCUUGGUUCUCAAGGGGUUGUGUGUGGGGGUGUGUGACGUUGCUGCCUUGCCACAGAGCUUCUAGAAGCCAGGGCCCUCACUCUGCAGUGUCAGCUCAGCUCAUAGUCAGUGGUCAGUGAAUAGCUGGACUGAAGCUGGCCUCAGACAACAGUGCAAAGUAGGUAGUCAACCAGGGAGUGUGUUGAAUCAGGUCUUUAUUACCAGGAGGAAGCACACAGGAGGUGCGGGGAGGACGUUUGUGGAAUGGAUAAAUAAAAGCAUGCUCUUUGAGGGAAUAAAGAAGCAGAGAAACUGAAAAGAAUCUAGGGAAGAUGGACAUAAAUCUCCACCGAGUGCCACCAAGGCUCUGUAGUCGAGGCCUCUGAAAAGACGCUGCAGAGGCUGAGGGGCCAUUUGUCACAGUAGGGACAGGCUCAAGGGCCAAGAAGCAAGGGUGUGAUGGAACCUCGUUCAUCAUUUUCACAUUAUCCUGGCGGCAAUGGAGAGGAGCCCACGAGUGCACAGCCAAGCUGCCCCCCACCUGACAGAAUGAGUGCCAGGCUGGGGUGGGGAAGGACCCUGAGGAAGUGCAGGCUGGGCUGGGGGAGUAGGCAGGCAUCUCAGUGCCCACCUCAUGCCCUUAGUGCUGCAGUAUUGUUUUCAUUUAGCCCAGUAUGAGUCCCCUGGGCCCUGUUCCAAUGCCACUUCCUACAGGAAGCCCUCCCAGAUCCGCCAAGCCUGAUCCAUAGAAAAUGUCAAUCUGCAGUCAGAUAUCAGUCUUCUGAGUCUUUGAUCAGCAGGUAUCUCCUUGCAAAGCCUGCAAGCUCCAUGGGAGCAGGGGCUGUGUCUGGUGUGGUCCCAGUGGGGCCCCUGUGCCUGGUUGGGAACUCAGCCCUGGGGGAGGCACCAUAUCAUGCUCUUGGCCAUGUCUGCCCUUUGCAGGCACUCUGGACCUGGCACCCGGCAGGUGCCUGGUGUGUAGACAUCCCACGGGCCGAACCUUGGGUAGACCCCAAGCAAGAGCCAAGGGCGGAGCCAGAGCUGGCCACAAGGAGAACUUCUGCCUAGAGAAGUCUGACUGUGAGCUGAGGAGCCUGACCUGACCCUGGAGGCAUUCUUUGGGUCUGGGCUGCGCCAUGGUCCCCGCUGAUGAACCAGGCGGAGGGCACCCAUGCCCCAGCAGAUCGAUGCACAGCAACCUGCCUGCCACACCCAGGAAGCUGGGGGAGGCCCCUGCACCCCCCACCCCACCACCAUUUGAAGGACCGAGACUGAUAUCCAGGGGGCCAGUCCUGCUGCAGAUGGACAGGCCUUCACAUGGACCCUGGGGAGGACCCUGUGACUCA
This 1433-nucleotide small RNA is filed under the name Bos taurus (domestic cattle). RNAcentral describes it as "partial Meg 9 variant 3". The record is from RNAcentral. Lineage: Eukaryota; Metazoa; Chordata; Mammalia; Artiodactyla; Bovidae.